UACGAGUGCUCCAAGCGUUAUCCGGAAUUACUGGGCGUAAAGGGUGUGUAGGCGGUUUUGUUAGUCGGUUGUUAAAGCUCCCCGCUUAACGGGGAAAAUGCAAUCGAAACGGCAAAUCUAGAGGAUGCGAAAGGUGAACAGAACUCAUGGUGUAGGGGUGAAAUCCGUUGAUAUCAUGGGGAAUACCAAAUGCGAAGGCAGUUCACUGGCGCACUCCUGACGCUGAAACACGAAAGCGUGGGUAGCGAAUGGG
RNAcentral lists this ribosomal RNA (253 nucleotides) under uncultured bacterium. RNAcentral's name for it is "partial 16S ribosomal RNA". It matches the Rfam family "Bacterial small subunit ribosomal RNA", at positions 524 to 776 of the family's 1533-position model. The record is from RNAcentral.